RNAcentral lists this ribosomal RNA (410 nucleotides) under uncultured bacterium. RNAcentral describes it as "bacterial SSU rRNA". It matches the Rfam family "Bacterial small subunit ribosomal RNA", at positions 30 to 443 of the family's 1533-position model. The record is from RNAcentral.
AUUGAACGCUGGCGGCAUGCCUUACACAUGCAAGUCGAACGGCAGCACGGGAGCAAUCCUGGUGGCGAGUGGCGAACGGGUGAGUAAUAUAUCGGAACGUGCCCAGUCGUGGGGAUAACGUAGCGAAAGCUACGCUAAUACCGCAUACGAUCUAUGGAUGAAAGCGGGGGAUCGCAAGACCUCGCGCGAUUGGAGCGGCCGAUAUCAGAUUAGGUAGUUGGUGAGGUAAAGGCUCACCAAGCCGACGAUCUGUAGCUGGUCUGAGAGGACGACCAGCCACACUGGGACUGAGACACGGCCCAGACUCCUACGGGAGGCAACAGUGGGGAAUUUUGGACAAUGGCGCAAGCCUGAUCCAGCAAUGCCGCGUGCAGGAUGAAGGCCUUCGGUUGUAACUAGCUUUGUUACGG